CAUUAGGUGUCUGAAGUUUAAGGAGUUGAUUUUUUAAAUCAAAUUAUGAUAAUAAAUUAUCCCUAAUGA
Molecule: transfer RNA, 69 nt
Filed under: Amegilla calceifera
Lineage: Eukaryota; Metazoa; Arthropoda; Insecta; Hymenoptera; Apidae
Description: tRNA-Lys
Source: RNAcentral